RNAcentral lists this long non-coding RNA (264 nucleotides) under Hordeum vulgare. Its description in RNAcentral is "long non-coding RNA (HVUL_LNC016365)". Lineage: Eukaryota; Viridiplantae; Streptophyta; Magnoliopsida; Poales; Poaceae. The record is from RNAcentral.
UGGUUUUGAGAGAAGAACAAGCGCGUUAAUUAAACAAUUUGAAGUUAUCCCUCACUAUGACUAGCCCUGAGGCAGCCUAUGAGUCUAGCAUUAUAGUUGUUUAAUAUAUGUGGCAUCAGAUACUGCAGACAUUUGGCAAGUCAAGUGACAAAUUGGAUGUUUUGGAGCCCGUCCCACGAUCGGACUCAUGUCCGUUUGCUCCGACUUGAGAUUCAUCUCUCGGCUGGCCGGUCCGGACAGUAAUACAGAACUGAACUACAGUAC